GAUGAAGAACGCAGCGAAAUGCGAUAAGUAAUGUGAAUUGCAGAAUUCAGUGAAUCAUCGAAUCUUUGAACGCACAUUGCGCCCCCUGGAAUUCCGGGGGGCAUGCCUGUUCGAGCGUCUCAGGGACGAACCCUCGCGCGGGUGUACGCGCGGUCGUGGCUGCGGUGGCGUGCCCGAGGCGGCGGCCACCGCGCUGGAAUACAUGGGCGGACGCCUGCCGCGUGGCCGAGCGUGAUAUGACGCAUUGGCGCUCGCACGCGGAGAGGCUGCCAGCCCUGGCCCGUCUGUCGGGCGGGGGAGAGCAAGACACGUGAACUCCUCGAAUCAGGUAGGGAUACCCGCUGAACUUAAGCAUAUCAAUAAGCGGAGGA
Molecule: unclassified non-coding RNA, 371 nt
Filed under: soil metagenome
Description: partial contains 5.8S ribosomal RNA, internal transcribed spacer 2, and large subunit ribosomal RNA
Rfam family: 5.8S ribosomal RNA (bases 1-120)
Source: RNAcentral